Molecule: ribosomal RNA, 1290 nt
Filed under: Geobacillus sp. 10-1
Lineage: Bacteria; Bacillati; Bacillota; Bacilli; Caryophanales; Anoxybacillaceae
Description: bacterial SSU rRNA
Rfam family: Bacterial small subunit ribosomal RNA
Source: RNAcentral
CACAGUGUUUUUGUGUUGAAGGCGGUUUUGGUGUUCACUUGGCGAUCGUCCCGGCCAUAGCUAGUGCUAGUACGCUCAUAGCACGAUCGUAGCGCUGAGAGGGUGAUCGUCCACACUGGACUGAGAACAUCGUCCAGACUCUACGGGAGGCAGCAGUAGGGAUUUCGGCAAUGAACGAAAGUCUGACGGAGGCGACGCCGCGUGAGGGGAAGAAGGCUUUCGGGUCGUAAAGCUCUGUUGUGAGGGACGACGAGCGCCGUUUGAAUCACGGCGGCGCGGUGACGGUACCUCACGAGAAAGCCCGGCUAACUACGUGCCAGCAGCCGCGGUAAUACGUAGGGGGCGAGUGUUGUCCGGAAUUAUUGGCGUAAAGCGCGCGCAGGCGGUCCUUUAUGUCUGAUGUGAAAGCCCACGGCUCAACCGUGGAGGGUCAUUGGAAACUGGGGGACUUGAGUGCAGGAGAGGAGAGCGGAAUUCCACGUGUAGCGGUGAAUUGCGUAGAGAUGUGGAGGAACACCAGUGGCGAAGGCGGCUCUCUGGCCUGUAACUGACGCUGAGGCGCGAAAGCGUGGGGAGCAAACAGGAUUAGAUACCUUGGUAGUCCACGCCGUAAACGAUGAGUGCUAAGUGUUAGAGGGGUCACACCCUUUAGUGCUGCAGCUAACGCGAUAAGCACUCCGCCUGGGGAGUACGGCCGCAAGGCUGAAACUCAAAGGAAUUGACGGGGGCCCGCACAAGCGGUGGAGCAUGUGGUUUAAUUCGAAGCAACGCGAAGAACCUUACCAGGUCUUGACAUCCCCUGACAACCCAAGAGAUUGGGCGUUCCCCCUUCGGGGGGACAGGGUGACAGGUGGUGCAUGGUUGUCGUCAGCUCGUGUCGUGAGAUGUUGGGUUAAGUCCCGCAACGAGCGCAACCCUUGCCUCUAGUUGCCAGCAUUCAGUUGGGCACUCUAGAGGGACUGCCGGCUAAAAGUCGGAGGAAGGUGGGGAUGACGUCAAAUCAUCAUGCCCCUUAUGACCUGGGCUACACACGUGCUACAAUGGGCGGUACAAAGGGCUGCGAACCCGCGAGGGGGAGCGAAUCCCAAAAAGCCGCUCUCAGUUCGGAUUGCAGGCUGCAACUCGCCUGCAUGAAGCCGGAAUCGCUAGUAAUCGCGGAUCAGCAUGCCGCGGUGAAUACGUUCCCGGGCCUUGUACACACCGCCCGUCACACCAGGAUAGCUUGCAACACCCGAGAUUGGUAGUUGCCCAGUAAGUAGAAGAACAAGCAGAGAGACUACCUUUUAUUCC